This 459-nucleotide ribosomal RNA is filed under the name uncultured bacterium. RNAcentral's name for it is "partial 16S ribosomal RNA". It matches the Rfam family "Bacterial small subunit ribosomal RNA", at positions 338 to 795 of the family's 1533-position model. The record is from RNAcentral.
CCUACGGGAGGCAGCAGUGAGGAAUAUUGGUCAAUGGGCGGAAGCCUGAACCAGCCAAGUCGCGUGAGGGAGGAAGGUACAGAGUAUCGUAAACCUCUUUUGUCAGGGAACAAAGACUGGGACGCGUCCCCGGAUGAGGGUACCUGAAGAAAAAGCAUCGGCUAACUCCGUGCCAGCAGCCGCGGUAAUAUGGAGGAUGCGAGCGUUAUCCGGAUUUAUUGGGUUUAAAGGGUGCGCAGGCGGUCUGUUAAGUCAGCGGUAAAAGCCCGGGGCUCAACCCCGGCCCGCCGUUGAAACUGGCAGUCUCGAGUUGGAGAGAGGUAUGCGGAAUGCGCGGUGUAGCGGUGAAAUGCAUAGAUAGCGCGCAGAACUCCGAUUGCGAAGGCAGCAUGCCGGCGCCACACUGACGCUGAGGCACGAAAGCGUGGGUAUCGAACAGGAUUAGAUACCCUGGUAGUC